GCCUGGGUGGCUCAGUCGGUUAAGUGUCUGACUUCGGCUCAGGUCGUGAUCUCGCGGUUCGUGGGUUCGAGCCCCGCGUCGGGCU
Molecule: transfer RNA, 85 nt
Filed under: Felis catus (domestic cat)
Lineage: Eukaryota; Metazoa; Chordata; Mammalia; Carnivora; Felidae
Rfam family: tRNA
About the family: Transfer RNA (tRNA) molecules are approximately 80 nucleotides in length. Their secondary structure includes four short double-helical elements and three loops (D, anti-codon, and T loops). Further hydrogen bonds mediate the characteristic L-shaped molecular structure. tRNAs have two regions of fundamental functional importance: the anti-codon, which is responsible for specific mRNA codon recognition, and the 3' end, to which the tRNAs corresponding amino acid is attached (by aminoacyl-tRNA synthetases). tRNAs cope with the degeneracy of the genetic code in two manners: having more than one tRNA (with a specific anti-codon) for a particular amino acid; and 'wobble' base-pairing, i.e. permitting non-standard base-pairing at the 3rd anti-codon position.
Source: Rfam by way of RNAcentral